Molecule: ribosomal RNA, 279 nt
Filed under: uncultured Campylobacterota bacterium
Lineage: Bacteria; Pseudomonadati; Campylobacterota
Description: uncultured Epsilonproteobacteria bacterium partial 16S ribosomal RNA
Rfam family: Bacterial small subunit ribosomal RNA
Source: RNAcentral
AGCUUGCUAUAACUGUCAGCUAAGUGGCGCACGGGUGAGUAAUAUAUAGUUAAUCUGCCCUAGAGAAAGGGAUAACGUUUGGAAACGAACGCUAACACCUUAUAUGCCUUUAAGUCUUAAGACUGCAAGGGAAACAUUUAUGGCUCUAGGAUGAGACUGUACGGUAUCAGUUAGUUGGUGAGGUAAUGGCUCACCAAGACAAUGACGCCUAACUGGUUUGAGAGGAUGAUCAGUCACACUGGAACUGAGACACGGUCCAGACUCCUACGGGAGGCAGCA